This 253-nucleotide ribosomal RNA is filed under the name uncultured bacterium. RNAcentral describes it as "partial 16S ribosomal RNA". It matches the Rfam family "Bacterial small subunit ribosomal RNA", at positions 524 to 776 of the family's 1533-position model. The record is from RNAcentral.
UACAGAGGUCUCAAGCGUUGUUCGGAUUCAUUGGGCGUAAAGGGUGCGUAGGUGGCGCGGUAAGUCGGGUGUGAAAUUUCGGAGCUUAACUCCGAAACUGCAUUCGAUACUGCCGUGCUUGAGGACUGGAGAGGAGACUGGAAUUUACGGUGUAGCAGUGAAAUGCGUAGAGAUCCGGAGGAACACCAGUGGCGAAGGCGACACGCUGGGCCAUACCUGACGCUAAAGCGCGACAGCAUGGGGAGCAAACGGG